UACGGAGGGGGCUAGUGUUGUUCGGAAUUACUGGGCGUAAAGGGCGCGCAGGCGGCUUGGCAAGUCGAGUGUGAAAUCCCUUGGCUUAACUAAGGAAUGGCGCUCGAAACUACCUCGCUAGAGGACGGGAGAGGGAAGUGGAACUCUCGGUGUAGGGGUGAAAUCUGUAGAUAUCGAGAGGAACACCGGUGGCGAAGGCGGCUUCCUGGCCUGUUCUUGACGCUGAGGCGCGAAAGCUAGGGGAGCAAACGGG
Molecule: ribosomal RNA, 253 nt
Filed under: uncultured bacterium
Lineage: Bacteria
Description: partial 16S ribosomal RNA
Rfam family: Bacterial small subunit ribosomal RNA
Source: RNAcentral